RNAcentral lists this transfer RNA (81 nucleotides) under Pleurastrum terricola. RNAcentral describes it as "tRNA-Leu". It matches the Rfam family "tRNA". Rfam says of the family: Transfer RNA (tRNA) molecules are approximately 80 nucleotides in length. Their secondary structure includes four short double-helical elements and three loops (D, anti-codon, and T loops). Lineage: Eukaryota; Viridiplantae; Chlorophyta; Chlorophyceae; Chlamydomonadales; Pleurastraceae. The record is from RNAcentral.
GCCUCCGUGGUGAAAUUGGUAGACACACUGGUUUUAGGAACCAGCGCGUAAAGCUUGUCGGUUCGAGUCCGACCGAAGGCA